GGUAGCGCAUAGCGCAUCUGCCUUGUACGCGCUAGGUCGCGGGUUCGAUUCCCGCCC
RNAcentral lists this transfer RNA (57 nucleotides) under Diaphorina citri (Asian citrus psyllid). It matches the Rfam family "tRNA", at positions 6 to 65 of the family's 71-position model. From Rfam's summary of the family: Transfer RNA (tRNA) molecules are approximately 80 nucleotides in length. The record is from Rfam by way of RNAcentral. Lineage: Eukaryota; Metazoa; Arthropoda; Insecta; Hemiptera; Psyllidae.